This 303-nucleotide ribosomal RNA is filed under the name uncultured bacterium. Its description in RNAcentral is "partial 16S ribosomal RNA". It matches the Rfam family "Bacterial small subunit ribosomal RNA", at positions 507 to 807 of the family's 1533-position model. The record is from RNAcentral.
AGCAGUCGCCGCGGUAAUACGUAGGGCGCAAGCGUUGUCCGGAAUUAUUGGGCGUAAAGAGCUCGUAGGCGGUCUGUCGCGUCUGGUGUGAAAUCCCGAGGCUCAACCUCGGGCUUGCAUCGGGUACGGGCAGACUAGAGUGCGGUAGGGGAGACUGGAAUUCCUGGUGUAGCGGUGGAAUGCGCAGAUAUCAGGAGGAACACCGAUGGCGAAGGCAGGUCUCUGGGCCGCAACUGACGCUGAGGAGCGAAAGCAUGGGGAGCGAACAGGAUUAGAUACCCCUGUAGUCCCUGUCUCUUAUAC